CAUUAAGAAGCUAUGCCGGGCUCAGCGACAGCCUUUUAAGCUGUAGAUAGGUGCCUACCCACCACCCUUAAUGA
This 74-nucleotide transfer RNA is filed under the name Leptodactylus fallax (mountain chicken frog). RNAcentral's name for it is "tRNA-Lys". Lineage: Eukaryota; Metazoa; Chordata; Amphibia; Anura; Leptodactylidae. The record is from RNAcentral.